AGUGAACGCUGGCGGUAGGCCUAACACAUGCAAGUCGAACGGCAGCACAGUAAGAGCUUGCUCUUACGGGUGGCGAGUGGCGGACGGGUGAGGAAUACAUCGGAAUCUACUUUUUCGUGGGGGAUAACGUAGGGAAACUUACGCUAAUACCACAUACGACCUACGGGUGAAAGCAGGGGAGCUUCGCACCUUGCGCGAUUGUAUGAGCCGAUGUCGGAUUAGCUAGUUGGCGGGGUAAGGGCCCACCAAGGCGACGAGCCGUAGCGGGUCUGAGGGGAGGGCGGGCAAACUGGAACUGGAGACACGGCCAAGACCCCUAGGGGAGGCAGCGGUGGGGAAUUUUGGACAAGGGGGGCAAGCCUGAGCCAGCCAGACCGGGUGGUGGAAGAAGGCCUUCGGGUUGUAAAGCCCUUUUGUUGGGAAAGAAAAGCAGCAGGUUAAUACCCCGCUGUUCUGACGGUACCAAAAGAAUAAGCACCGGCUAAUUCCGU
This 491-nucleotide ribosomal RNA is filed under the name uncultured bacterium. Its description in RNAcentral is "partial 16S ribosomal RNA". It matches the Rfam family "Bacterial small subunit ribosomal RNA", at positions 30 to 506 of the family's 1533-position model. The record is from RNAcentral.